AUACGGAGGAUGCGAGCGUUAUCCGGAUUUAUUGGGUUUAAAGGGUGCGUAGGCGGCCUGUUAAGUCAGUGGUGAAAUCCUGCGGCUCAACCGUAGAACUGCCAUUGAUACUGACAGGCUUGAAUUCAGUUGAGGUAAGCGGAAUGUGCAGUGUAGCGGUGAAAUGCUUAGAUAUUGCACAGAACACCGAUUGCGAAGGCAGCUUACCAAACUGCGAUUGACGCUGUUGCACGAAAGCGUGGGGAGCGAACAGGAUUAGAUACCAUGGUAGUCCACGCUGUAAACGAUGUUCACUAGCUGUUUGCGAUAUAUUGUAAGCGGCAAAGCGAAAGCAUUAAGUGAACCACCUGGGGAGUACGUCGGCAACGGUGAA
Molecule: ribosomal RNA, 373 nt
Filed under: uncultured bacterium
Lineage: Bacteria
Description: bacterial SSU rRNA
Rfam family: Bacterial small subunit ribosomal RNA
Source: RNAcentral